Daucus carota subsp. sativus is the source of this 810-nucleotide long non-coding RNA. RefSeq lists it as uncharacterized. The record is from RefSeq and is a predicted model, not a curated record. NCBI's taxonomy places the organism in Eukaryota, Viridiplantae, Streptophyta, Magnoliopsida, Apiales, Apiaceae. The transcript is spliced from 3 exons.
UUCACCAAAGUCACAACCAUGUAUACCAAAAAACAAAAGUAGUGCUUAUGCUCUGUUUGGUUGGCCUGAAUGGAAUGAGUUUUGGAGAGAAUCGAAUGGUCCAUUCAGCCCAUCAAAAAAUUUUAUUGUUUGGUUGAGCCAAAGUAAUGGAAUGGUCCAUUCUUUCGAUCAUUCCAUUCUGGGCCGGCAGUAUACAACCUAUUCUCGAACAAAACAGAGGGACAGCUCCAUUCCAUUCUCUUCUCUGCUACCGCACAAAAUCAACAUAUACAAAAAUUGUCCGUUGUAUCCGGCGAUUCUCAGCGAGCUUCGAACUCUACCGAAUCUGCAAUCAUCAACGAAUAUGUUUCGUUUUCAUUGAUCUACCAUAAUCUACGAUUCUUAACAUUUUCAAACCUCAAUCUAUCUAAAUAAACAGAGAAACCUGAGCCUGUUGAGGAAAAGGCUGCUGAAGGUGGUUCUGUUAACAGAGCCAGAUCUGAACCUGCAUCUUAGAGUACUGAAUGCGGCUUCAUCUUAAAUUUCUGAUUGUUCAGAGUGCUUUAUUCUCUGAUGCUGGCUUGGAAAGUGGACUUGGUCAUGCUGGAGAAGUGGGAGGGCUAGUAAUAGUUCGGAAUCUUGACCUCUUCUUGGAGAAUUUUUGUAUUUUAUUUGUAAAUUAUGAAGGAGAAUUAGUAGUGGCCAAAGUUUGGAUUUUUUUUUUAAAUUUUUAAUAUUUAUUAUAGUUGAUUUAGUUGCUACUAAUUUGUGUAAUGAAAUGUGAAGUAUGAUUGACAUGAAAUUAAUCCAUUUGUCUAUUUGAUUUAUAAA